RNAcentral lists this ribosomal RNA (468 nucleotides) under uncultured bacterium. Its description in RNAcentral is "partial 16S ribosomal RNA". It matches the Rfam family "Bacterial small subunit ribosomal RNA", at positions 28 to 507 of the family's 1533-position model. The record is from RNAcentral.
GACGAACGCUAGCGGCAUGCCUAACACAUGCAAGUCGAACGGAAAGGAGAUGAUAUCGUGCGGUGCUCGAGUGGCGAACGGGCGAGUAACCCGUAAGUGUGCUCACCCUACCUUUGUGAUAACUACAGGACACCGGAGCUCGUAUUAAUACCGAACUACUUCUGUGUGGGGGGGGUUUGGAUGAUUGGGCGGUUAGGGAUGGACUCGCGGCUUACCAGACUGUUGGUGGUGGAGUGGCUUACCACGGCCUUGGCGGGUAGCCGGCCUGAGAGGGGGACCGGCCACAUUGGGACUGAGAUACGGCCCAGACUCCUACGGGAGGCAGCAGUGGGGAAUAAUGCACGAUGGGCGGAAGCCGGAUGCAGCAACGCCGCGUGCGGGAUGACGGCCUUCGUGUUGUAAACCGCUUUCGCCUGUAACGAAGCGUGUGUGACGGUAAUGGGUAAAGAAGCACCGGCUAACUACGUG